UACGUAGGGUGCGAGCGUUGUCCGGAAUUAUUGGGCGUAAAGGGCUCGUAGGCGGUCCGUCACGUCGGGAGUGAAAACCUGGGGCUCAACCCCAGGCCUGCUUCCGAUACGGGCGGACUAGAGGUAGGCAGGGGAGAGCGGAAUUCCUGGUGUAGCGGUGAAAUGCGCAGAUAUCAGGAGGAACACCGGUGGCGAAGGCGGCUCUCUGGGCCUUACCUGACGCUGAGGAGCGAAAGCGUGGGGAGCAAACAGG
RNAcentral lists this ribosomal RNA (253 nucleotides) under uncultured bacterium. RNAcentral describes it as "partial 16S ribosomal RNA". It matches the Rfam family "Bacterial small subunit ribosomal RNA", at positions 524 to 776 of the family's 1533-position model. The record is from RNAcentral.